CCAGACUCCUACGGGAGGCAGCAGUGGGGAAUAUUGCGCAAUGGGCGGAAGCCUGACGCAGCGACGCCGCGUGGGGGAUGAAGGCCUUCGGGUUGUAAACCCCUUUCAGCAGGGACGAAGCGGAAGUGACGGUACCUGCAGAAGAAGCGCCGGCUAACUACGUGCCAGCAGCCGCGGUACACGUAGGGCGCAAGCGUUGUCCGGAAUAAUUGGGCGUAAAGAGCUCGUAGGCGGUCUGUUGCGUCCGCUGUGAAAACUCGGGGCUUAACCCCGAGCUUGCAGUGGAUACGGGCAGACUAGAGGUAGGUAGGGGAGAAUGGAAUUCCCGGUGUAGCGGUGAAAUGCGCAGAUAUCGGGAGGAACACCGGUGGCGAAGGCGGUUCUCUGGGCCUUACCUGACGCUGAGGAGCGAAAGCGUGGGGAGCAAACAGGAUUAGAUACCCUGGUAGUCCACGCCGUAAACUUUGGGCGCUAGGUGUGGGAUCCUUCCACGGAUUCCGUGCCGCAGCUAACGCAUUAAGCGCCCCGCCUGGGGAGUACGUCCGCAAGGCUA
Molecule: ribosomal RNA, 553 nt
Filed under: uncultured bacterium
Lineage: Bacteria
Description: bacterial SSU rRNA
Rfam family: Bacterial small subunit ribosomal RNA
Source: RNAcentral